GGCUGUAUAGCCUAAUUCAAGGCAAUUGAUUUGCAUUCAGUUCAUGUAUUUUAUACUACAGCCA
This 64-nucleotide transfer RNA is filed under the name Platynereis bicanaliculata. RNAcentral's name for it is "tRNA-Ala". It matches the Rfam family "tRNA". Rfam says of the family: Transfer RNA (tRNA) molecules are approximately 80 nucleotides in length. Their secondary structure includes four short double-helical elements and three loops (D, anti-codon, and T loops). The record is from RNAcentral. Lineage: Eukaryota; Metazoa; Annelida; Polychaeta; Phyllodocida; Nereididae.